GUGUCCUGGGUCCUUUCCCAAAGAUGUGACAGGGCUGGGCUGUGCUGCACAUAGCCUCCCUUUUUCUCGCUCCUGCUUAAGGGCUACAGGUUCCCUGGCAGUGCCAGGCAUGCGUCAGGGUGAGGAGUCCAGGCUCCAGGGACAGGUCUGUGUGACCUGGUCCCCUUCAGGCCUGCCAGGCUGGCACACAAGCUCUUGAUUUCGUCGUCAGGGAAACCAAGUCUUUCUGCAGACGUCAUUCCUGUCCUUGGGGUGAUAAGGGCGCGUCACGUCUGUCGUUCUGCCACUUGUCAUGCUCUGAUAAGGCAUAGCAUCUGCUUGUCCUUGGAGGGCAAGAUAAAUUUAGAUGUGGCGGAUUUAGAACAUCAGGUGACCUGUUUGCACUUAGGAGCUGUAGCUCUUAGGAGGGAGAGGGUGGCCUGGCUGGUCCGACAGUGUGAUGGGCAUUAGUCUCCUCACCUCCACCAAGACUGGCAGCCACUUGAAGAAAAGGGCUGGAUCCUUGGCGCCCAGCCCAAGCUUGGCUGCAAGCAAGAUGCUCGGACAUCCUGGUUGGUGGGUUUUCAGGUUUGGAGCUUCUUAGGGAUUUUGCAAAUGAUCAGAAAUUGUGACUUUCAAAGGCUGCUCUACAGGGAGCACAAGAGAUCCAGAGCAGGCUUCUCUGGAUGAGAGUUUCUUUUUACCUUUACUUUUGGGGCUUCUGUGUAAGACUUUAUUCCAGAGUUAAAACCAAGUUUGAAAUCCACUGCUCUAGGCCAGGUCUUCCAUUUUCCAGAUAAGUAAACUGAGUCCCAGAGAGACAAGUGACUUGCCAAGGCUCCCCCAUGACCUGACUUCAGGGCAGGCACUUUUCCCUCACAGUCUUACUUGGCUCAGGCUACCAUAGGAAAAUGCCAUAGACUGGAGGGCUUACACAACAGAAAUGUAUUGUUUCCCUGUCCUGGAGGCUGGAAGUCCAAGAGCAAAGUGUCAGCAGUAUUGUUUCCUUCUGAGCGCCCUGAGGGAGAAUCAGCUCCAGGCUUUCCUCUUAGCUUCUCAUGGUUGCAAUUUUCAGCUUGAUUACCUCUGUAAAGACCCUAUAUUCAAAUAGGACCACAGUCUAAAAUACUAGGGCUUAGGUCUCCAACAUAUCUUUUUGGGGGUCACAAUCCAACCUCUCAACUCCACCUUCUUACAUGGUUGGUGGAGGUCAAGUUCGAGGGGCCAGAGGAUCUCAAAUCCUACCGAGUCUGAGGGUGGACCCUUCCUUCCUUCCUGACCCUGGCUCUGGGUUAACCCUUGCAGGCCCAGGCUGACUGCUUCCCCACAGGCCACAGGAAUGUCUACAGGAGGAUUGACUGCUUUCCAAACCAUGCUGCAUGGUGCUUUUUUGUUCCCUCUUUUUAUUGUUGCUGUUAUUGUCCAAGUAAUUCUAGUUGGCAAAUUACUUUGCUAAAAAACUCAGGAAAACAUUCAUGAAAGGCCACCCAUCACUUUACUGCGCAGCUAUAGCCUCAGUUAACACUUUCAUGUAAUUCCCUCUAGCAUUCCCCACCCCUGUGCACAUACCAAGGUUUUCUUUCUUAACUUUCUUCUUAAUAUAAUUUCAAAAAUAUUUUCCCACGUCUGUAAAAACCUCGAGAAACAUGAUUUAUGUUUUUCCAUUUGACGCAUGUUCAUUGAGUGUCAGGCGUUGGCGAUACAUCAGUGAACAAAACACAAAAUUCUUGUUCUCAGGGGCUCUCUGGAGGGUGAGCGCCAGUGAACAGUGGGGAACCAGACUAGUGCCCUCCUCCCAGCACUGGCCUACGGUCCCCGGUCUGUCCCUGUCAAUGGCUUAUUUAUAUCCUAAGGGCAGAUUCUUCCUGUAAGUUAUGUUGAAAUUGGGAGAACAUUAUAAAUCAACUAUAAUAAAAAAAAACUAAAAAAUAAAACCAUUAAUUAGCUCACAAAGUAAAAGAGCUGACACUAACAGGCAAUUUCUAUGAUCUCUGCAUUAAUUGCCUACUCUGGUACAUGAAGGUGAAUUUAGAUAAAUAAUAGAACUGUAGGAAUAGGUUAUUUGGGUGUUUUUAUAUUGUCUCAUGGUAAACUUGUGCAUAGCCAUGAGCCACUUGUGCUUAUAAAAGAUUUUACUUCAUUAAAUGAUUUCUGCCUCAAAUUUUUGUGUUUCCGGCAUUGGCUGUUUCUAACCUUUCAUUUGUGAUCUCAGGGACAGAAUGUGAUGAAAAAAUAAAACUGUUU
This 2223-nucleotide long non-coding RNA is filed under the name Sus scrofa (pig). Its description in RNAcentral is "lncRNA (ENSSSCG00015015585.1)". The record is from RNAcentral. Lineage: Eukaryota; Metazoa; Chordata; Mammalia; Artiodactyla; Suidae.